AUCUAUGCCUAUACCACCCUGAACGUGCCCUAUCUCGUCUGAUCUUGGAAGCUAAGCAGGGUCGGGCCUGGUUAGUACUUGGAUGGGAGGUCUACAAUGGACCCAUGUGCUUUCAAGU
RNAcentral lists this ribosomal RNA (118 nucleotides) under Ochotona princeps (American pika). The record is from RNAcentral. Lineage: Eukaryota; Metazoa; Chordata; Mammalia; Lagomorpha; Ochotonidae.